GACGAACGCUGGCGGCGUGCUUAACACAUGCAAGUCGAACGGAUUGCUUGGUGCUUGCACUGAGUGGUUAGUGGCGAACGGGUGAGUAACACGUGAGUAACCUGCCCCCUUCUUUGGGAUAAGCACCUGAAAGGGUGUCUAAUACUGAUUAUUCUGCUGGAAUCGCAUGGUUUUGGUUGGAAAGGUUUUUCUGGUGGGGGAUGGGCUCGCGGCUUAUCAGCUUGUUGGUGGGGUAAUGGCUUACCAAGGCUUUGACGGGUAACCGGCCUGAGAGGGUGACCGGUCACAUUGGGACUGAGAUACGGCCCAGACUCCUACGGGAGGCAGCAGUGGGGAAUAUUGCACAAUGGACGGAAGUCUGAUGCAGCGACGCCGCGUGAGGGAUGAAGGCCUUCGGGUUGUAAACCUUUUUCGCUUUUGACCAAGGCAGCAUUUUGGUGUUGUUGAGGGUAUGAGGUAAAGAAGCUCCGGCUAACUACGUG
This 482-nucleotide ribosomal RNA is filed under the name uncultured organism. RNAcentral describes it as "bacterial SSU rRNA". It matches the Rfam family "Bacterial small subunit ribosomal RNA", at positions 28 to 507 of the family's 1533-position model. The record is from RNAcentral.